RNAcentral lists this ribosomal RNA (259 nucleotides) under Echiumacalles anagaensis. RNAcentral describes it as "partial 28S ribosomal RNA". It matches the Rfam family "Eukaryotic large subunit ribosomal RNA", at positions 1347 to 1593 of the family's 3401-position model. Lineage: Eukaryota; Metazoa; Arthropoda; Insecta; Coleoptera; Curculionidae. The record is from RNAcentral.
AUCGCCCGCGAGGGCGGUCACGAAGCCCUGACGAGUAGGAGGGUCGCGGCGGUGAGCGCAGAAGGGCUGGCCGCGAGGCCGUCUGGAGCCGCCGUCGGUGCAGAUCUUGGUGGUAGUAGCAAAUACUCCAGCGAGGCCCUGGAGGACUGACGUGGAGAAGGGUUUCGUGUGAACAGCCGUUGCACACGAGUCAGUCGAUCCUAAGCCCUAGGCGAAAGCCGAUGUCGAUGCGGUGUAGUUUUUACCAAAUAUAUAUAUU